This 242-nucleotide ribosomal RNA is filed under the name Blastocystis sp. RNAcentral describes it as "partial 18S ribosomal RNA". It matches the Rfam family "Eukaryotic small subunit ribosomal RNA", at positions 87 to 348 of the family's 1831-position model. The record is from RNAcentral. Lineage: Eukaryota; Bigyra; Opalinata; Blastocystidae.
CUGCGAAUGGCUCUUUAUAUCAGUUAAGUUAACUUGAUGAAGAAUACUAAUUGGAUAACCGUAGUAAUUCAGAGCUAAUACAUGUAUAAAGUCUUGUAGACUGCAUUUAUUAGAAUGAAAACCAUAGGUUUCUGGCCUAUUCGUGAGUAAUAAUAACUAAUCAUAUCGUAUGCUUAUGUAACGAUGUGUCUUUCAAGUUUCUGCCCUAUCAGCUUUCGAUGGUAGUGUAUUGGACUACCAUG